UGAAGCGGCAACAGCUCAAAUUUGAAAUCUGGCUUCGGCCCGAGUUGUAAUUUGUAGAGGAAGCUUUUGGUGAGGCACCUUCUGAGUCCCCUGGAACGGGGCGCCAUAGAGGGUGAGAGCCCCGUAUAGGUCGGAUGCCGAUCCAAUGUAAAGCUCCUUCGACGAGUCGAGUAGUUUGGGAAUGCUGCUCAAAAUGGGAGGUAAAUUUCUUCUAAAGCUAAAUACCGGCCAGAGACCGAUAGCGCACAAGUAGAGUGAUCGAAAGAUGAAAAGCACUUUGAAAAGAGGGUUAAAUAGCACGUGAAAUUGUUGAAAGGGAAGCGUUUGUGACCAGACUUGCGCCGUUCCGAUCAUCCGGUGUUCUCACCGGUGCACUCGGGGCGGCUCAGGCCAGCUAUCGGUUUUGGCGGGGGGAUAAAGGUCCGGGGAACGUAGCUCCUUCCGGGUAGUGUUAUAGCCCCGGGCGUAAUGCCCUCGCCGGGACCGAGGUUCGCGCAUC
This 499-nucleotide ribosomal RNA is filed under the name Neurospora tetrasperma. Its description in RNAcentral is "eukaryotic LSU rRNA". It matches the Rfam family "Eukaryotic large subunit ribosomal RNA", at positions 94 to 603 of the family's 3401-position model. Lineage: Eukaryota; Fungi; Ascomycota; Sordariomycetes; Sordariales; Sordariaceae. The record is from RNAcentral.